This 21-nucleotide microRNA is filed under the name Lotus japonicus. RNAcentral's name for it is "lja-miR7524". Lineage: Eukaryota; Viridiplantae; Streptophyta; Magnoliopsida; Fabales; Fabaceae. The record is from miRBase by way of RNAcentral.
ACCAGUGAGUCAUUGGGCGGA